AAAUAAAAGAGCAUCUCUGCAGGUCACAGUUCAGCACCUCUAGCCACCUCAGUGAUUCCCGCUACGUACAGUCGCUGCUGUCAUCACCCCAGGGUCACUUCAGACAUUAAAAAGAACCCAGCACAAAUAGGCCUCCUCCCCAGGACGUCUCCCUAACUGACUGUUCCCUGUCUUUUUUUAUUUACCUCUCGUGUUUUAAUUACUGAUCACAAAAAAGUGUGCUUUGGUAAUUAGCUGAUUCCGCUUGCACUUGGCAUUUGCAAUAGAAAUCAUUGGUUUGCUCAUCUACCUUUACUCGUAUUGAUUAUAAAUGGGCUGUCUGUGCCCUGAUAUUUAUAUAGAACUUUUGUAUUCCUGAGAGUGGGAUAUGCUGUUGUGCCUAACU
Long non-coding RNA from Anguilla anguilla (European eel), 385 nucleotides. RefSeq lists it as uncharacterized. Lineage: Eukaryota; Metazoa; Chordata; Actinopteri; Anguilliformes; Anguillidae. The transcript has 3 exons. The record is from RefSeq and is a predicted model, not a curated record.